Molecule: non-coding RNA, 27 nt
Filed under: Homo sapiens (human)
Lineage: Eukaryota; Metazoa; Chordata; Mammalia; Primates; Hominidae
Source: RNAcentral
UGCCAACAACAAGGGGUCAAGGGCCGC